GCCCCCCACCCCACCCCCAAACAAAACAAAUCACCAUAGGGCUUGGCCAAAGGAAUGCCUAAUCUACAUGGCAAGUUGAAUCUAUAUCCGAACUCAGUUAAUUCUCCACUACUGAAUCAAUAAUUGGACAUUGACAAGUUUCUUUUAGUUGCAAAUUGAAUGUGCCCCUCUUUGCCAGCAAACACCUACCAGUUCCUUCUUGGAUAAAUAGGCACGUCGUAAGUCUAAUCUGUUUAAAUGGAUGAAUCGUUGGUGCACCAUCACUAUCCCAUCCAAAAUGUUCUGAGAUUUUUACUUGAGACAUAAAUUACCAUGUGUGCUUUACAAAACAUUCUGCUCCUUUUAUGACUGGACUGGGACACUUCUGGCCGUACGUAACUUCUAGGGGAAAAGUUGUAUCCUCCUCCUGAAAAACCGAUUGCCCCUUUGACAUGCAUGUCUAGAAAUAGUCACAAUGGUUUAAUAGAAAAUUUGUCUUGAAACCCCUGUGCUCACGUUCCUAAGUAGGAGGAACUUUUCUUAAGGGCGCCGUUAAUCCUUGGUGUGAAUAAUGGUCACAAUAUUCUUCCUCCUUUUCUUCUCAAAGCCAGAAAUUACAGAAAUAAUUACUGAUUUUCUUUUUUUUGCCUAAUCUACAUGGCAAGUUGAAUCUAUAUCCGAACUCAGUUAAUUCUCCACUACUGAAAUCAAUAAUUGGACAUUGACAGUUUCUUUUAGUUGCAAAUUGAAUGUGCCCCUCUUUGCCAGCAAACACCUACCAGUUCCUUCUUGGAUAAAUAGGCACGUCGUAAGUCUAAUCUGUUUAAAUGGAUGAAUCGUUGGUGCACCAUCACUAUCCCAUCCAAAAUGUUCUGAGAUUUUUACUUGAGACAUAAAUUACCAUGUGUGCUUUACAAAACAUUCUGCUCCUUUUAUGACUGGACUGGGACACUUCUGGCCGUACGUAACUUCUAGGGGAAAAGUUGUAUCCUCCUCCUGAAAAACCGAUUGCCCCCUUUGACAUGCAUGU
This 1009-nucleotide long non-coding RNA is filed under the name Sus scrofa (pig). Its description in RNAcentral is "lncRNA (ENSSSCG00070011952.1)". Lineage: Eukaryota; Metazoa; Chordata; Mammalia; Artiodactyla; Suidae. The record is from RNAcentral.